This 119-nucleotide ribosomal RNA is filed under the name Peromyscus maniculatus bairdii (prairie deer mouse). The record is from RNAcentral. Lineage: Eukaryota; Metazoa; Chordata; Mammalia; Rodentia; Cricetidae.
GUCUAUAGAACUACCACCAAGAAACACCCAAUCUCCUAGGAUCCUGGAACUUAAACAGGCUUGGGCCUGUUAGUACUUUGACAGGAGAAAAACAUAUCCCAAACUAUGUUGUUUAGACA